Molecule: ribosomal RNA, 604 nt
Filed under: uncultured Hypocreales
Lineage: Eukaryota; Fungi; Ascomycota; Sordariomycetes; Hypocreales
Description: SSU rRNA
Rfam family: Eukaryotic small subunit ribosomal RNA
Source: RNAcentral
GGGGAACCAGGACUUUUACUGUGAAAAAAUUAGAGUGCUCCAGGCAGGCCUAUGCUCGAAUACAUUAACAUGGAAUAAUAGAAUAGGACGUGUGGUUCUAUUUUGUUGGUUUCUAGGACCGCCGUAAUGAUUAAUAGGGACAGUCGGGGGCAUCAGUAUUCAAUUGUCAGAGGUGAAAUUCUUGGAUUUAUUGAAGACUAACUACUGCGAAAGCAUUUGCCAAGGAUGUUUUCAUCAAUCAGGAACGAAAGUUAGGGGAUCGAAGACGAUCAGAUACCGUCGUAGUCUUAACCAUAAACUAUGCCGACUAGGGAUCGGACGGUGUUAUUUUUUGACCCGUUCGGCACCUUACGAGAAAUCAAAGUGCUUGGGCUCCAGGGGGAGUAUGGUCGCAAGGCUGAAACUUAGAGAAAUUGACGGAAGGGCACCACCAGGGGUGGAGCCUGCGGCUUAAUUUGACUCAACACGGGGAAACUCACCAGGUCCAGACACAAUGAGGAUUGACAGAUUGAGAGCUCUUUCUUGAUUUUGUGGGUGGUGGUGCAUGGCCGUUCUUAGUUGGUGGAGUGAUUUGUCUGCUUAAUUGCGAUAACGAACGAGACCU